Molecule: ribosomal RNA, 505 nt
Filed under: uncultured bacterium
Lineage: Bacteria
Description: bacterial SSU rRNA
Rfam family: Bacterial small subunit ribosomal RNA
Source: RNAcentral
AUUGAACGCUGGCGGCAUGCUUUACACAUGCAAGUCGAACGGUAACAGGUCUUCGGAUGCUGACGAGUGGCGAACGGGUGAGUAAUGUAUCGGAACGUGCCCAGUAGUGGGGGAUAACUACUCGAAAGAGUGGCUAAUACCGCAUGAGAACUGAGGUUGAAAGCGGGGGACCUUCGGGGCCUUCGCGCUACUAGGAGCGGCCGAUAUCAGAUUAGGUAGUUGGUGGGGUAAAGGCCUACCAAGCCGACGAUCUGUAGCUGGUCUGAGAGGACGACCAGCCACGACUGGGACUGAGACACGGCCCAGACUCCUACGGGAGGCAGCAGUGGGGAAUUUUGGACAAUGGACGCAAGUCUGAUCCAGCAAUGCCGCGUGCAGGACGAAGGCCUUCGGGUUGUAAACUGCUUUUGUACUAGAACGAAAAGGCUCUGGUUAAUACCUGGGGCUCAUGACGGUACUGUAAGAAUAAGCACCGGCUAACUACGUGCCAGCAGCCGCGGUAAAC